GUCUGGUAAUCAGAGAGAUAGACAAGUGGGUAAGUGAAUUAUUGAAAUAAGGAGAUCUGAAGAGACAAAAAAAGAGAAAACUCAUACAAUGGAGUCCAGUAAUAGCCUAGUCUAAGCACAUCAUUUUGUGUCUGUGAAUUUUAGAUGAGCUCCCCCUGAAUGUACACAUACUGUUUUAACUUACCAACACACCAAUGCAAUAAGAAACACACAAACCAUACUAUGAUUGUAUAUUCACACCAGGUGACAUACCUUACAAACACUAUUUAUUGCUAAUCAACUAUAGGAUUCAUUCAAUAAACAGUUAUGUUUAGUGACCUAACACCUUAAUGACCGCUGACGUUUCAGGACCGUCAUCGGAAAAAUACCCUUGAGGUAAAUAUCAGUGAUGAUAUUGUCAGUGAAAGUGAUGUUUUUUUGCAUUUUUCACACACAAACAGCACUUUCAC
Pelobates cultripes (western spadefoot toad) is the source of this 449-nucleotide non-coding RNA. NCBI's taxonomy places the organism in Eukaryota, Metazoa, Chordata, Amphibia, Anura, Pelobatidae. The record is from the annotation of a GenBank genome assembly.